AAAAAGACAAACCUUGGUUUCCGUGUCCAACGUUUGACCGUCCGUCUUAUUUGAAAAAAUUAUGAAAAAAAUAUAAGUCACGCAUAAAGUAUUAAUCAUGUUUUAUCAUCUAACAACAAUGAAAAUACUAAUUAUAGUUUUUUUUAUAAGAUGGACAGUUAAAUGUUGGCACGAAAACUCAUGGUUUAUCUUUUU
This 195-nucleotide microRNA precursor is filed under the name Oryza sativa Japonica Group (Japanese rice). RNAcentral describes it as "MIR812 microRNA precursor family". It matches the Rfam family "MIR812 microRNA precursor family". Lineage: Eukaryota; Viridiplantae; Streptophyta; Magnoliopsida; Poales; Poaceae. The record is from Rfam by way of RNAcentral.